UUAUCCAGGACGUGGAUAAAGAAUCCGAGUACUACGAUCAGGAGUAGCCAUGCUGCAACAGCAAUGAGGUAUGUAUUUACCCCAAGAUGGCUCACAGCCUGUAAGAUAGCACAAGCCACAAUUGCAUAUAUGGCUGAGAGCACAAAGGCAAUUCCAGCUAACAAACGCGUGGAGAUGGUCUCCACAAAAACAGUUGAGAGGAGAUUUCGUUUCAAAAGUUCGUAUGUCAUUCUUGCAGAUGAGCAGUAAGCUUCACCUGUUAUUGCUGCAAAAGUUAUUGCAAAUUUGUUCAGAUAAUCAACAGCUGCCAGAAAUGUAUUUACACAGCAACGUAAAAUAAGGUUGAACAUCCCGG
This 355-nucleotide unclassified non-coding RNA is filed under the name Hevea brasiliensis (rubber tree). The record is from RNAcentral. Lineage: Eukaryota; Viridiplantae; Streptophyta; Magnoliopsida; Malpighiales; Euphorbiaceae.